This 834-nucleotide long non-coding RNA is filed under the name Triticum aestivum (bread wheat). RNAcentral's name for it is "long non-coding RNA (TAES_LNC000611)". The record is from RNAcentral. Lineage: Eukaryota; Viridiplantae; Streptophyta; Magnoliopsida; Poales; Poaceae.
AACACAUAUUAAUUAAUUUCACAUGUAAAUACUUCAUCCGUUAUCAACAUAAUGACUUUCAAAAUUUCCCAUAAGCUAAUAUAGCUAAUUAACUGGACGAAACAUUAUGGUUCAUUGUCUCAAACACAAUGUGGGUUUACAAAAUGAUAGAUAAAAUUCAUCACCAAUGAUUCAAUCACCACUACACAAAAUAUCCUGAACCGCCGGCUUUAUGGUUCCUCCUCCGCUUGCAUGUCUUUCCUGCAAAAUGUAAAGAAGUUGCCAUUACAUUCUUACAUUCAUAAAUACAAUGUACCAUAAAAAUUGGAUAAAGCAUAGCAUUGACAACAGCUAUUACUUCACAAGGCAAGCAAGUACCAAAAUACCUACUCAAGAAGGCACUCCAUUCAAGUAUAGGUAACCACUAGAAGUAGACGCAAGCCUUGCCACACUGCUUUUCAUUGUGGACCCGCUUUUAUCUCUCUUAUUCCUCACGUUCGAUGACUCAAUGCACAUAUGCAUGCUGCUCGUACUUAUGGCCAUGGUGCACAUAUAUAAGGCACUCGUGACAAAACUUCAAGAACAUCAUAGAUUACUUUAUUCAAAUAGAAUAUCAUGAAGUUUGUUUAUUGAGUGCUACACUUUAGUGUGCUCAGUGGAAAAAAAAAUUACAGUAGAAAACGGAAAAAAUGCACACCUGAUCCAAGUCACAUCAUGAUUUUCUGGGAGAGCUUACCACCAUGGGGGAAUGGUUAUAGAAAAACCUGAGACUUGAAGAUUUCUUUCCUUACCUGAUCAUCACCAAUUUCCAAUAAUAAAUUAACUAUGGAAACAUAAUACAUGUGCAACAUUAGU